This 395-nucleotide ribosomal RNA is filed under the name uncultured bacterium. RNAcentral's name for it is "bacterial SSU rRNA". It matches the Rfam family "Bacterial small subunit ribosomal RNA", at positions 505 to 898 of the family's 1533-position model. The record is from RNAcentral.
GUGCCAGCCGCCGCGGUAAAACGUAGGAGGCAAGCGUUAUCCGAAUUCACUGGGCGUAAAGCGCAUGCAGGCGGCCUGCUAAGUUGGCUGUGAAAUCUCCUGGCUCAACUGGGAGAGGCCGGUCAAUACUGGUAGGCUUGAGGGCGACAGAGGGAGGUGGAAUUCCGGGUGUAGUGGUGAAAUGCGUAGAUAUCCGGAGGAACACCAGAGGCGAAGGCGACCUCCUGGGUCGUACCUGACGCUCAGAUGCGAAAGCUAGGGGAGCGAACGGGAUUAGAAACCCCGGUAGUCCUAGCCGUAAACGAUGUAGACUGGGUGUCGGCGGGGUAAAAGCCGUCGGUGCCGAAGCCAACGCGAUAAGUCUACCGCCUGGGGACUACGGCCGCAAGGUUAAA